Molecule: long non-coding RNA, 11051 nt
Filed under: Setaria italica (foxtail millet)
Lineage: Eukaryota; Viridiplantae; Streptophyta; Magnoliopsida; Poales; Poaceae
Description: long non-coding RNA (SITA_LNC005466)
Source: RNAcentral
AUCGUCACAUAUUGACAAUCAGGGCAGAGGAGCAACCAGCCAGGUCUCAAGCCAAGCUCGGUUGCUCAAAAUCUGAAGAAACAAGACCCAUGACGAUUAAUUAGGUCCCCAGCAGCUGAGGUACAUGACGGUCCUCAUCCCCUCCUCUGCCUUGUCGGCUCGCCUCCUCUCCGACGCCGCCGCCAACUUCUUAUUGGCCUGCGCGAAGCUGGGGGCGUUGGCCUUGGCGGCCCGGUGGAUGGAGCGCAGCGCGUAGUUCCAGCGGCAGAGACCCGCCUGGUCCUUGAGCGCCUCCAUCGCGCCCACGCUCAUCGCCACCAUCCACGACGCCUUCACUGCGGCCGCCAUGUCCUUCUCCUCUUCUUCUUCUCGGGGGCUUUUGCACGACCUGAUGAUUAGCUAGAGUGCUCGGUUGGUGAUCGCUGUGGUGCUGUGACCUGCGAGUGAAGAUUGUGUGAUGCUCGGAUGCUGUGUCGAGGUGAGCGGGGGCGCGGUGGGUUAAUAUACCGGAGGGAGGGAGGUCGAAGCAGGUGGCCGCUUGUGAGCAACCUCCAAAUUAAACUCAUUAAGGGGGUGUUUGGGAGCACUCCACUUCAAAUUUUUGAGCUCCACUCCACCAACUCCACCACAUUGCAGCUCCACUCCACCGACUCCAAAAAAAAUACCAGAGCUGUCCACAUGUUUGGCAAAAUGCAUAGAUCCAGCUCUGGAAAUAGAAGAUCUUGCUGUGUAAAGUCCAUUAUACCCAUGUGAAUGGGUCCCACUUAUCAGUGUCCUUUACUUCUUCCCUUCUUCUCCUUUGCUGGUUGGGAUCGAUUUUCUUCAUUCNNNNNNNNNNNNNNNNNNNNNNNNNNNNNNNNNNNNNNNNNNNNNNNNNNNNNNNNNNNNNNNNNNNNNNNNNNNNNNNNNNNNNNNNNNNNNNNNNNNNUACUUCUUCCCUUCUUCUCCUUUGCUGGUUGGGAUCGAUUUUCUUCAUUCGAGCAGGCAGGCCGCGUAGGACCGGCGGGCAGGCGGGGGCGGGCGGGCGGCGCGCGGCGGGCAGGGGUGGGCGACGCGCGGCGGCGGGCGGCGCGGGGUGCGGCGGGUGAGGAGCGGCGGCAGGCGGCGGCGGCGGGCGGCGCAGGGCGCGACGGGCGGGAGCGGCGCGGCAGGCAUGGCCGGCCGGCGCGACGAGAGCCUUUUUUAUUUCGCGAACAGUUACAUUGUGUAACGAGUGGCAGUGGUGGGUAAAUACCCACCAACUCCACGAGGAGGUCUGUAAAGUGGAUUUUUGGAGCACCUCUUGAGGUACUCCACAAAAAACGUGGAUCUACCCCUGCUCCACCUUUUUUCCUGGAGCCGGAGUUCCUGGAGCUAGACGUGUUUGGCUGCGAAAUUUUUGGAGUUGGUGGAGUGGAGCAAUUUUUCGUGAAGUGGAGUGCUCCCAAACACCCCCUAAGUCAUUAUCAUUGAUCAACUCAAUUAAAGGAGAAUAAUUCCAGUCAUCCUUAAGAUGUGUCAUGAGCAAUGUCCAGGAUUUAAACACACCUCACGAGCACAACUAGUUGAACAUAAUCACAACAUAAGCAUAACCAUACAUAGUCCAUCACAUUACAUAAAAAAGUUCAAGUUCUCAUACAUAACAAAUUUAUAGAGUUUUGCAGCGGAAAGUUAAUUCAUCGUGCUCAUACGAUACAAUACAAAAUAAAAAAGUUAACACUAUAUCCUGAUAGUGCCCUCAUAGCCAUGGCCAUCUACUUCUUCCUCGUACCGCCGUCCGCAGGGAAGAAGUACCAAAAACAGCAUCCGGCUGCGGAUCACCUGCAACAACUUAACGGCAGCACCGUGAGUAAAAAAGGUACUCAAAAGGUCUUAUCCAAAAUAUGGGUAUAUACUUGCCCGACUCUCAAGGAGAAUGCAUUUGGUUAAGUAGCAAGGAAUGGCAUUGGUAAUUAAUUUGCAUAAAGGCAUCUAAAUUUGAUGAAGUUAUAAUAAGCAAAAGACAUGGCAUUCUAUGAUCGCCCAGUCAAGCAUCAAGUAAUUGCAAUAAGUAAAGGUGAUCAUGAACAUGAGCUCAAUCUUACAUGAACUCCAUUCGAUAACUCUACGUUAAAGUCACAGUACAAGAGCGUGCUCUUUAACCAAAAGCGUGGCUAUUGCAAUAGAUCAUAACCCUGCAGGGGUGUACAACUUUUCCCAAACGAGAUAAGACCAACUUCCAUAACCCCGGCUGAGGAUAAGUGUUGAUUCAUGCCCCCGACCGCUCACAUACCCACACCCGGCUAUAAACGGACGGUCGGAAUGGAUAGGGGCACCAGAUACGGCCGAUCACACCUCAUCCCAUCCCGCACCGAAUCCAGUCAAGGCAAGGUGCGACUUAUGCUACUUAGCUUGCCAUGCCCAUAUUAAGCAUGUGGUUUGUACAGAAUAGUACUCAAGUAUCAAAGCGAUAACGAUCAUGCCUUAACCAACUCAAGCAAGACUAAGCCAAAUGAGCUCCAAUCUCAACAUGACCCUACCAUUCUUGCUCAAAUUCGAUUCAUCAUUUAUAGUUGCUCAAUUUUAAUCCAUUCCUAGCUAACCAAGUAUUAUUUAAUCAAGCAUCCUAUAACUCGUGAGUGGUGGUGACCUUGCCACCUCUCGACUUCUACCGAAACUAAGCAUGGAUAAGCAAAUUAAAUUCGUGACACAUAAACAAACAUACUUACCUAAAAAGAGUGGUUCUAAAUCAAGGAUGGAUAACGCAUCAAGUAGGAGCUAAGCAACAUAUAUAUAAAUAUUAACUCAUGCAAAUACAAGACACAUAUAAAUUAUUGAUCUAAAAUAGGGUUAAAGGAAUGCUUAGGUGCCUGCCUUGGGGUUCAAAGGAAGCGUCGUCGGCGACGGGCUCCGGCUCGGGCUCACCCACCUCUUGCUCCGGUGUUUCGAUCUCUACACGAAUGCAAUGAUCCAUAAUUAAUAAAAUGCAUGAAAGGUGCAAAAGAUGUAUUAGAUGCAUGGAAAAAGAAAGUAAACUAUUUUUAUCAUAAUAGUACAUCAAUUCAAAGCAUCUAGUACAAGGUAAAACACUUAAAUCCUACACAAAACAAUGAUAUAUUCACAUUUUACUCAGAAUGGCAGAAUCAUAAAUAACUCGUCAAGUUUCCGAAAAUGGCAUUGCCGGUGAUUCCGGCGACCGAUUGUAGUGGGAUUUGACAUGCACGGAGGUUUAGACGACAUCCAACAUCAAUGGAGAUAAGCUUCCAUGAGGAUUAAUGCAGGAGCUUCCAAUGAAGGAGAGAGGAGGGGGAAACCAUAGGGGAACCUCAUCAAGGAUGGGGAAGGAUGAUUCAGAGAGCCGUAAGUUGGAGUAGAGUGGCGAUGGAGGAGAUUGGGUUUGGACUUGCUUCACCAGAGUUGAGGAAGAAGAAAACGAAGAACAGCUUCCUGCAGCUUGAUUCUUGCAAAGGGGAGGUCGAUGUGGAGGAGGGGGAGCUUGUCCCUGGCCUGGCCAAGGCCUGGCCGGCCAGCUUCUGCUCUGGGUGACGACACUGGCGAGCAGAGGAGGCGGAGUGGCAGAUGCUCUUGGAAAAGAACAAGUGAGGGAGAGAGAACCGGAGGGGAAGCCUCGGGGGUUUUGUGGGAGGGGUGGAUGGCAUGGUGAUGGUGUUCGGGCAUGCAAGCGACGGAAAAUGGGCACGUGGGCCAGAAAACGGACAUCACAUCGUGAGGGAGAAGGCGUCAGGCGGAUUUGAUGAAGAAAAAUCGAUCGGUACGGAGAUUCCGAACAAUUUUAUGGACUUCUUCGGAAAAAAAAGUUACGGAGUUUCAACUCUCCCAGAAAAGAGAAAACUUCGGAGAAUCCGCGAAAAUCUCCAUAUACUUCAAAAACCUGCUAAAAUUCCGCAAAACUUUGUAGAAACUCUGCACAAAACAUCAACAACAACUAUUCUAAGAGUUUUGGAUGGAUUUAUGAAGACCAGGCUGCCAGGACCGAAACGAAACACACAGAACUGAUUAAAUAUGGCGAUUCAAAUUGGACCACCUAGAGAUCUCCAAAAAUCAUGAAAUAAAUCAAGAAGAUAGUAUAAAUCAAGGGUGAUCCAUUUUGCUCAUAGCUGGUAUCGUAGCUAUUGCAGGUUUGAAAUAAAAAUUCUUCCCGAAAUGUUAUUUUAGGGCUUUUAGGUAAGAUGUUUGGCCUCAAGAUGGUCUCUAAAAGUCCAGGAGAGUUACCUAAAUUUAUGUUUGGAGAAGUAGUAAUUUAUCAAGCUAUCUUCCAGCGUAAGUUAUACGGUAGAAAUCUAAGUUCAUUCACAAGGUAGAUGCUAAAGGAAGUUUUUAAUUUAAUUUCAAAUCUAAUAGUAAAAUAAUUGAGAUCGCGGACCCUGGUUUUCCAGGAUACCGGGGGCUCGAUCGGCUCGUUUACGCGCCGCAUCUCGGCUUCUUGCGCACCGGCCCAAGUGGCUCACUUGCGACUUGACUCUCGUCUUGUUUAUUUUGCGUUCCGCGUCGCGGGCACUGAGAAGGACGGAUGCGCGCGCAGCCGCAACCGCCAUCAUCAUCUUUGUAUGAAGCAAACUAGGGAUAGUUUUAUCCUACCCGUGAUGGCCGGCCGUGCAUUGUCUUGCUUUUAGCAAACAGGACGAAGGAUCCUAGCUACUCACCCGACUACCCGAGGGAAGAGCCGUCCAGGAACCUUAUCGAUUUCUUGGUGAGUUCGCCGAUUAAACUAACCCGUUUUUAACGCACUGGACAAAUGGCUUAGCUGCCGAUUGUUACCACGUGCUCUCCGAGAACAGUGAAACUGUAAGAUUGAGAAUGACGUGGCAUAACCAACGCUGUAGCCGGUAGGAGAGGACAUCGUUUUCCAGGAUACCAUGGGCUAGCUGUAAAUAUCCAUGGAGUGCUCAUGCAACACUGGUACAAAACUCGCUUUUAAUUACGGUUGGUAGGGGUAAAUUUCUCAAAAAUCCAUCCGAGAUAAAGUAAUCGAGACGAAAGGGGGUCUUUAGUCUUGGAUCGCUCAACCGGGAUCGGUUGGUCUUACCACCUGGGACUUAAGGGUCCCCCACAGGUGGCUGAUUUUUUUACCUGGGACUAAAGGGUCUCCCACGGAUGGCUGAUUUUUGAUCCAGGACUAAAGGGGGACUUUAGUCCCGAUUGGUAUUUAACCCGGGACUAGAGCCUUUACGUCACGGGUCCGAUUUUAUCCGGGACUAAAGAGAAUUGGACGAAAGAUCAGUUUUAUACUAGUGCAAUUUAUGCGACUAUUAACAAACACACUAUUUUUUUGAAAAAAAAAACACACACCAUGUUGACUUAUUGGAGGAGCAAGGGCCAUGGUGUGGCGUGGUCGCGUGGAGCUUGGAGCUUGCAUAGUGCACAGACUGCAAAGGCCAACACAAAAAUACUCCUUUAUCUAAAAUCGUGUUUACGGAAAUAAUUACAUCUUAAGGUGUGCCGUGGUGGGUGAAACUGGAUCAUGAUCCUACGUGUGCGGUCUAUCUGAUCCACCAGCCUGGUCGUUUGCCUAAUUGCUCCCAUGCCUCCUUGCUGAGACUCAGAUGCUCGUAUUAUCGUUCAUCAUAAAAGGGGGGGAAAACCAAACAUGCUUUCCCUACCGUGAUCUACUUCUAAACCAAACUUCAGCAGAUUGUUUAGUAGAUAGAAGAAACUUCCAAACUGAAACGGCUGCCACUUUGCCUCAGUACAAAUAUAUGUCGAGGUCUUCCUUACAACUUGGAGAUAAAUCUAAGAUCUCUUUUGAUGGGAGACCAUGGUCAGAUUGUCGUUGAUCUCUUUUGAUGGGAGAACAUGGUUGAUUAACAUGGCCUAGUUGUAAGGAGCGCAACGAUAGAAUUUCAGCAGAUUCACUUCCUUGAAUGAAGUGCCAGAAAUUUUCAUCAUCAUCAUACUAUAUUACAAUCAGAGAGGCCAACUGAACCGGCAUGCACGGCCUCAAGCCAAAGCUCGGUUGCAGAAGGCUGAAACAGACAGACGGCGAAGACUAGUUAGGUCCCCAGCAGCUGAGGUACAUGACCGUCCUCAUCCCCUCCUCGGCCUUGUCCGCUCGCCUCCUCUCCGCCACCGCCGCCGGAGCCAGCUUCUUCGCCUGUGCGAAGCUGGGAGCGUUGGCCUUGGCCGUACGGGGGAUGGAUCGCAGCGCGUAGUUCCAGCGGCAGAGGCCCGCCUGGUCCUUCAGGGCCUCCACCGCGCCCACGCUCAUCGCCACCAUCCACGACGCCUUGGCUGCAGCCGCCAUGUCCUUCUUCUUCUUCUCGGAGCUUUUGCACGACCUGAUGAGCUAGAGAGAGCUCGGUUAGCGAUCGCUGUGGUGGUGUGACUACCAUGUGAGUGAGAUUGUGUGAUGCUCAGAUGCAGAUGCUCAGAUAUAGCGGAGGGAGGCCGGCUGCAACGGUGGCGGCGAGAGCUGGUUUUCCAGAAUACCGGGGGCUACCCACAGGUUGCUUUUGCUUUGCCGCACCAAACCAAUCCAGCAGAAACGGCUCGCUUGACGCGUCUAGUCGUCUUGUUUAUUCGAGGCAGAAACGGCGGUUCGUGCGUUGCAGAUCACCCGCGUCGCGUGCAGAGAUCAGGACCCGGGCCGAACAGCUUCAGAUACGGGCGCCACCCACCCAGAGUCCCAGAUCCAGCGAUCAGCGCCGCGCCAGUUCCACUGCCCAAUCUCUGUAUCUAGACUGUUUGGUCCAGAUAUGCGUACGGGCCAGAGACUACCCUACCUUUUCUAAUUACGAAGCUUAGUACUGCAAUUAGUCCCAGUAAGCAUCAUCAUAGGAAUAGGCAGUAGUAGGAAAUUUCUGAACUCCCUCGAGGCCUCGAGUAAAGCCUUGUCCAGGAAUCAGGAGUGGAGUCAAAAAGCCAAAAAGUCAUUUUUAUCUUUACUAGGGUCUAGAGCUCAACAGUGCUUUUUUUAAAAAUUUUUUUGACCGAACUACAAAUUUUGCUGUGGUUUCCAGUAUACUGCGGGCUGCCGGGCCCAGUCUCCUUUGGGACGUUUGCUGAUGCAAUGCAAAUGAAUGCGACAAACAUGCGUAGAAACAAAUCUCAUUAUUUCACCUCUCCAUGAUCCCCUGCUAAUCGAUUUUUUUAGCAAUCUUGUGCAUUUACUGUUCACAGUUGUCAGUUGAUAUAGCCUUUUAGUUCUUUUGUUAGGAGUUAGGAAUUGUGAUCUAAUAAUGCAACGUCUGCACUGCUUUUCGCUAUCUGGAUAAUGUUUGAAUGCUGAAACCAUCAAUUGUUGUCAUUUGAUUAUGGCUGGUCUUUAUCUUGACAUUUUUGUAAUUAGCCAAUACAUUUCUUUUGUACUGAAUGAUCAUCGCCUGUAGCUUUUCAGAAACUUUAACUUUGCAUUUUUUGAGUUUUCUGUUUCCUAUAACUAACUGAGGUGAUAAAAGAGUACAUCCAAAAUUAGGUAUGAAAACACAAGCAAUCAGGUAUGUCUCUUUUCAGUACUAGAAUAUAUCACCGACAUAAGUUGCUACAAUAGUUGUCAGCACUAUUAAGUUAAGCAAAUUGUGUCCAGCGUUGUCUUGCACCGUUUGUUAGCUUCUCAAUUUCCUUCAGUUAAGAAAUUUGUUUAAGACUUAUCUGGUGUGGAUGUUUUCCAUGAGCUAAAACAAAGAAGGCUCUUGCUUGGCCUGACAGGUAGCAGUAGACAUCAUGAAGGUCUUCGGUCUUCCUCUUUGUUCCUGAAUCAGACAACUAUAAAGCUACAAGUGUUGUUUAUUACAGAUAAAUUACUCUAGAAAACUACUGUACAAUAUCCAAUUAUGUUGUCACUUGUAGCUUUGAGUUGGAUGCAUAUAGUGUUUGGUUUUAUUUCUGAGCUAGGAUGAAGCCAUAUUUCCAUAUGAUCUAGCGGUAGAGGUAGAUGCAUUGUGAACAUUGGUCUGAUCACUACUUCACUGGUCACUGACAUGCGAGAGCAGAAACACCUUUCAUUUCUUUGAUGUCUUGCAUUCUCAGUUUGCAGAUUUAACUUCGGAGGAAAAAAUGCAAUGGCAGGGUCUACGUGAAGCUUGUGAAAAGGAGUUAAAGUCAUUUUAAAGUCAUAAUUUGUUCUGUGCCAAAGUUCCUAAUGAAGAGACUUGUAUGCCAAAGUUCAUAAUGAAGAGACUUGUAUUCCAUUUUUAUGUUAUAUUAUCUAUCUGUACGUGUGAUUGGAGAUGGCCGUAUGUGAUGUGAUGUGAUGGUGGAUGGAUUAGCUUGGUUUGAUAUUAGAUGGUACUUACAUUGAACUUUGCAUGAAUUGGAUUCUAUCUCAAAUAUUUUAUCAUUUCAUAAUGUUGAUGCAGGUCUUCACAUAUUGUAUGAUUUUAUCUGUACGUGUGGUUGGAGGCGUGAUUGGAGAUGGCCUUAUGUAUUUUUUAUGAAUAUUGUAUGAAUUUUUAUUUCAAAACGUAUAUAUUAUAUCUCCCCAGGAAAACUCUCCGUGCGUGCAUGGAAAUACGGAGCAUAUGUAUCUAGUCCAAAACGGAACGUGCAUGGAAAACUCUCGUGAAAAUACGCAGCCUUCCAAACGGCAACGGGGUUCAUUCUCCCAUGCGGGGACAUCUCCCGAGGGGGAGGCGGGGAUGCGAUCUUUCAGAAAAAUCGCUGUGGGGGGUUUUGUUCCCUCGAUAAAUUUACCUCUGCUGCCAAACUAGCCCUAAUCGAGUUAUUUUCUGCAGCUUGUUGUUCAAUUCAGUACAAAGUUGAGACCACCAAACUUAAAUGCAGGCCUUGUCUGUCACGCUGCUUCACCACAAGCACGGCUUUAUCUCUAAAGUAGGAGACGAUGGUUGAAUUCUCUUUUGAUGGAAGGUCACGGUUGAUUAAUGCGGAGGUCUACCCGAGUACUCCAAGGCUCAUACGGAUAGGACUGGAAUUAAGCUCAGCUGCUCAGGCCACCAUUUCUUUUUUGUUCUUUACUAAUCUUGUUACGAGCUCAGCUCAAAGAGAUCAUAGCAAUAGCAAGCACAGUGGCAGAACACCCAUAAUCGUGCACUAGAAUGAAGUUGAGAAGAAUUUUCAUCAUCAUCGUGGUAUGUUACAACCAGGAGGAGCAGCCGGCCGGCCAGGUCUCUCAAGCCAAGCUCGGCUGCUGAAACUGAAAGCAGAAGCAGAGGACCUAUGCCUAAUUGGGGCCCCAACAGCUGAGGUACAUGACGGUUCUCAUCCCCUCCUCGGCCUUGUCCGCUCGCCGCCUCUCCGCCGCCGCCGCCGCCGUCGCCGGGGCCAGCUUCUUGGCCUGUGCGAAGCUAGGAGCGUUGGCCUUGGCCAUCCGGUGGAUCGACCGCAGGGCGUAGUUCCAGCGGCAGAGCCCCGCCUGAUCCUUGAGCGCCUCCACCGCGCCGACGCUCAUCGCCACCAUCCACGAUGCCUUCGCUGCAGCCGCCAUGUCCUUCUUCUCCGGGAUUCGCAGGUCUUGUCUAGUAGAGAGCUCGGUUGGUGAUCGCUGUAGUGAUGUGUGUGAGGUUGUGUAGUUGCUGUGUUAGCGGUGGAGAGGCGGGCGGGUUAAUAUAGCUGAGGGAGGAGUGGAGGACGGCGGAAUCAGGUGGCCGUGGACGCUGGUUUCCCCGGAUACCGGGGGCUCUCUCUCUCUCCCUGCUUGGUUACGCCGCGGCUCGCUUUCUCCCGCUGUCCCGCACCGGCCCAGUUGCUCACGUUGCGCGCGGAGACAAGCUGGUCAUUGUCCCACUGCCGCAAUGCAUCUCUGUAGUCUGUAUCUGGACUGUUUGAGCUAGAGAUGCGUACUGAUCAGUAGAAAUUUACUUUUCAAUUUAGAAAGCAAUUUCUCUCUGCAUGUGGUGGGCCGGCCCUUCUGCCGUCCACUGUCCUGCUUUCAGCGAACAGGAUGAGGGAUCUGCCAGAUUUUACAACUGACUCGAGGCGUCCAGGAGUCUUCCUCUCGCGUUCUUGGUUAGCCGCACUGAUUAAACUAAUCCGUUUUAACGCGCUGAAUCACAUGGGUUAGCUGCAGAUUGUUACUACAUGCUCUUGGACUAGCACUGACUGUCAGAGCGCGACAUGGUGGGAUUUCCGGACGCCAUGGGACAUGGUUUACAGGAUACCAUGGGCUGUAUGGUAUAUCCGUUGGAGCGAUCGCUGAUGCAAUUUAUGUGACAGAAACAAAUGCUGUUACUUGAACACAUACGAACUGUGCUGUACUGCUGUGGCCUGUGACUCACAGCUUCUGCAUGAACCAGCAUACGGUCACAAAGACAAUCAAAUUUUUGUGACACAAUUAUCUUUCUCCAUCGUCUGCCUUCGAUGCCCCCUUUGCCGUGAUGGAGAUGCUAUUUCCAUGAAAAAAUCACGCUUUUCCCUGCCAUGAUCUCCUGUGAAAUCGUUCUGCUGCUUUGGCAGGUUGCUUACUGCCAAACUGAAACGGAGGCUUUGGUUCAUCACAGAAUGUUUUCCCGUUAAAACUUAGAGAUCCUGUGCAGCUUCAUUUUAACGUGAGGCAAGGAAAUCGCUGACAUGGACAUGCUUGAAAUUAAGCUCAGGGAACCAUUUGGUUUGUAUUAGCUUACUUAGUAUAUGUUAUGACCCUGUAAUGAGCCACCGGCAAUUCAGCAUGAGUUGAGCUGUAGAAAAUACUGUGAUCUUUUUUGUCGAGAGGUCAUCAAAGAAGAGUUCAAAAUCUGAGAGCAUCAUCUCAUACUUGCGUCGAGGGUUCAGCUUUAGCACGCCAAAGCCUCGAACCACACAAACAAAGUCUCGUUACGAGUUCGAAGGGAUGCAUGGUAGAAAGCACAGUAGCAGAAGCAUUCAUAUACUCGAUUAAACUGAAAGAACUUUUCAUCAUCAUCGUCGUCGUCGUCGUCGUCGUGUAUUUACAAUCAGGAGGAGCAAGGCCAGGUCUGAACUCCAAAGGCAAGAUCGGUUGCUCAGAGGUGAAACGGAAAGGAUCUACGCACGCCUAAUUAGGUCCCCAGCAGCUGAGGUACAUGACGGUCCUCAUCCCCUCCUCCGCCUUGUCCGCCCGACUCCUCCCCGCCGCCGCCGCCGCCGGGGCCAGCUUCUUGGCCUGCACGAAUCUGGGGGCGUUGGCCUUGGCGGCCCGGUGGACGGAGCGCAGCGCGUAGUUC